AGAGUUUGAUCCUGGCUCAGGAUGAACGCUAGCGGUAGGCUUAACACAUGCAAGUCGAGGGGUAACGAUAUCUUCGGAUAGGCGACGACCGGCGCACGGGUGAGUAUCGCGUAUGCAACCUACCUAAAGCUGGAACAUAGCCCCCGGAAACGGGGAUUAAUAUUCCAUAAUGUUCAAAUACCUCCUGGUAUAUGAACCAAAGCUCCGGCGGCUUUAGAUGGGCAUGCGUGACAUUAGUUUGUUGGUGAGGUAACGGCUCACCAAGACUACGAUGUCUAGGGGGUCUUAAAGGAUGAUCCCCCACACUGGUACUGAGACACGGACCAGACUCCUACGGGAGGCAGCAGUGAGGAAUAUUGGUCAAUGGGCGCAAGCCUGAACCAGCCAAGCCGCGUGCAGGAUGACGGCCCUAUGGGUUGUAAACUGCUUUUAUACAGGAAGAAACCUCUGACGUGUCAGAGACUGACUGUACUGUAUGAAUAAGCAUCGGCUAACUCCGUGCCAGCAGCCGCGGUAAUACGGAGGAUGCAAGCGUUAUCCGGAUUUAUUAGGUUUAAAGGGUGCGUAGGCGGAUUUAUAAGUCAGUGGUGAAAUCCUACAGCUUAACUGUAGAACUGCCAUUGAUACUGUAGAUCUUGAGUACAAUUGAGGUAGGCGGAAUGUGUGGUGUAGCGGUGAAAUGCUUAGAUAUCACACAGAACACCGAUUGCGAAGGCAGCUUACUAAACUGUAACUGACGCUGAUGCACGAAAGCAUGGGGAGCAAACAGGAUUAGAUACCCUGGUAGUCCAUGCCGUAAACGAUGAUCACUCGCUGUUUGCCCGUUAGGGUAAGUGGCCAAGCAAAAGCAUUAAGUGAUCCACCUGGGGAGUACGUCGGCAACGAUGAAACUCAAAGGAAUUGACGGGGGCCCGCACAAGCGGUGGAACAUGUGGUUUAAUUCGAUGAUACGCGAGGAACCUUACCUGGGUUUAAAUGCAGGACGAAAGUCACGUGAAAGCGAGACCCUCCUUCGGGACGUCCUACAAGGUGCUGCAUGGUUGUCGUCAGCUCGUGCCGUGAGGUGUCGGGUUAAGUCCCAUAACGAGCGCAACCCCUAUCGUUAGUUACCAGCGGAUAAUGCCGGGGACUCUAACGAGACUGCCACCGUAAGGUGAGAGGAAGGUGGGGAUGACGUCAAAUCAGCACGGCCCUUAUAUCCAGGGCUACACACGUGUUACAAUGGCCGGUACAAAGGGCAGCUACUUGGUAACAAGAUGCAAAUCUCGAAAACCGGUCUCAGUUCGGAUCGAAGUCUGCAACUCGACUUCGUGAAGUUGGAAUCGCUAGUAAUCGCGCAUCAGCAACGGCGCGGUGAAUACGUUCCCGGGCCUUGUACACACCGCCCGUCAAGCCAUGGAAGCCGGGGGUGCCUGAAGUCUGUAACCGCAAGGAGCGGCCUAAGGUAAAACUGGUGACUGGGGCUAAGUCGUAACAAGGUA
This 1481-nucleotide ribosomal RNA is filed under the name metagenome. RNAcentral's name for it is "bacterial SSU rRNA". It matches the Rfam family "Bacterial small subunit ribosomal RNA". The record is from RNAcentral.